UACGUAGGGGGCAAGCGUUGUCCGGAUUUAUUGGGCGUAAAGAGCGUGUAGGCGGCCAGGUAGGUCCGUUGUGAAAACUCGAGGCUCAACCUCGAGACGUCGGCGGAAACCCUCUGGCUAGAGUCCGGAAGAGGAGAGUGGAAUUCCUGGUGUAGCGGUGAAAUGCGCAGAUAUCGGGAGGAACACCGGUGGCGAAGGCGGUUCUCUGGGCCUUACCUGACGCUGAGGAGCGAAAGCGUGGGGAGCGAACAGG
This 253-nucleotide ribosomal RNA is filed under the name uncultured bacterium. RNAcentral's name for it is "partial 16S ribosomal RNA". It matches the Rfam family "Bacterial small subunit ribosomal RNA", at positions 524 to 776 of the family's 1533-position model. The record is from RNAcentral.